AAGACUAUAGACCUGCGGAGUACCUGCGGAAGGAUCAUUACCGAGUUUACAACUCCCAAACCCCCUGUGAACUUAUACCAUUACUGUUGCUUCGGCGGGUUAUUGCCCCGGGGAAGGACAGGCUGCCGCAAGGUGCCCUGCCGCCCCCCCGGAAACAGGCGCCCGCCGGGGGACUUAAACUCUAUAUUUUUUUCUUGUUUUAGUGUAUACUGUCUGAGUAAAAAAACAUAAUGAGUCAAA
Molecule: unclassified non-coding RNA, 240 nt
Filed under: soil metagenome
Description: partial contains 5.8S ribosomal RNA, internal transcribed spacer 2, and large subunit ribosomal RNA
Source: RNAcentral